GUGGGGGUGGCAGAAUCAAUGCGUCAGACUUAAGCUUUGAAGAUGGAAUUUAAUUCCUCCCCACU
RNAcentral lists this transfer RNA (65 nucleotides) under Laternula truncata. RNAcentral's name for it is "tRNA-Leu". It matches the Rfam family "tRNA". Rfam says of the family: Transfer RNA (tRNA) molecules are approximately 80 nucleotides in length. Their secondary structure includes four short double-helical elements and three loops (D, anti-codon, and T loops). Lineage: Eukaryota; Metazoa; Mollusca; Bivalvia; Laternulidae. The record is from RNAcentral.